RNAcentral lists this ribosomal RNA (263 nucleotides) under Lutzomyia longipalpis. RNAcentral's name for it is "partial 12S ribosomal RNA". The record is from RNAcentral. Lineage: Eukaryota; Metazoa; Arthropoda; Insecta; Diptera; Psychodidae.
UUUAUGAAAUUAAAAUAAUUUGGCGGUAUUUUAGUCUAUUCAGAGGAAUUUGUUUUAUAAUCGAUAAUCCCCGUUAAAUCUUACUUAUUUUAUUUAAUUUGUAUAUUGUUGUCAUUAGAAUAUUUUAUAAGAAUAAUAAUUUUCUUAAAUUAUUUAAAAUUUUAUGUCAAAUCAAGGUGCAGUUUAUAUUUAAGUAAAAAUGAAUUACAUUAAUAUAUAAUUAAAUGAAUUAAAAAUUGAAACAUUUUUAUGAAGGUGGAUUU